CUGAUUGAUUGAUUGAUUGUUGGUUGCUUAACGUCCAGUGGCAAAUAUUUCAUGCAUAUUCAGGACGAGAACAAGUUCACAAUAAAUACAAUAGGUAGGUUGUUGUAAUAGAGGCCAUCUAGGAUGAUGGUCGGGGGAAAUUUGGACUGCCACUGGAAAAUGAGGAUAUAUUGGAUAGGGACAGACAUUUUGCCUUGCAACAGGCCACCUACGGACCCCUCAAAGAGUUGUUGCAAGGGUUCUUAACGUGCAAAGAGCGUGGCAUUCUCUUUACACGAGGCAUCGGAUUUAACGUCCCCUUCUGACGGACGUGACUGCGAACUUGAUACAUCCCGC
Molecule: long non-coding RNA, 336 nt
Filed under: Mytilus galloprovincialis (Mediterranean mussel)
Lineage: Eukaryota; Metazoa; Mollusca; Bivalvia; Mytilida; Mytilidae
Source: RNAcentral